GAUAUACUAACCUGUUAAGUAACCGUAGACGCGUCUAGCGUCUGUUUAUGAUAUAAAAACAAGAAGAAGACCGGACACGGAGCGAGAGCGAGAGCAAGAUAUAUGGUUAGUUAAAGUAAAGAGUAAGAGAAAUAUAUGGAUAAGAAGAUUAUUAUUUACAAGACGAACGUAUAGAGAAUAGUAAAGAGCGCUUUCCUGUUGUUAAGAAAAUAUGCCUGUCAACCACAAGCAAAAGCAUAUCCAAAAUUUACAUUAAAAGAGUAUAAAAACAAAUUGAUUGUAGAGGGCGAAAUUAUACCAGAUUCUUUUGACCUAUCUAUAUUUUGGAUUAGAGAAAUAGAAGGAAUGAUUUAUUGGUCAAGACUUUAGUUUACAGACAUUUCAAGGUUUUCCAGUAAUAUCAUUGGAAAUAAAAUGUACAACAAUUAGAAUCCGAAUACAAACAAGGAAAAGCAUAGCGUUACUUUACAAAUAGUUUUGUUGGAGAAAUCAAAUACAAAAAACAGUCAAUUUUUCUCUAUUUUGUUAGUUUCAAAGCAAUUGUAUGUCUUCCAAACAAAUCAAUGUUAAGCAAUAUGAUUUUUGGGUUAUUACUCGAAAAGAUAGAGGUGACAAUAUUAGCGGUGAAGUUAAUGAUCUUCAUUGUAUUUGCACUGCAGGACUUUUAGGAAGCUGUAAUCAUGUUGAAGGUUUGUUAUUUUGCGUCAAAAGUGCAGCAAUUACGGGUGCUUCUAAUUUAAUAUGCACUAGCUUAAAAGCUUCUUGGAAUGUUUUUAGUUAAAAUAACUAAUUGAAGUUAAAAAAGUAUCAAAUUA
Molecule: non-coding RNA, 815 nt
Organism: Hydra vulgaris (swiftwater hydra)
Lineage: Eukaryota; Metazoa; Cnidaria; Hydrozoa; Anthoathecata; Hydridae
Source: RefSeq, a predicted model, not a curated record